UACGGAGGAUGCGAGCGUUAUCCGGAAUCAUUGGGUUUAAAGGGUCCGUAGGCGGGCUAAUAAGUCAGAGGUGAAAGCGCUCAGCUCAACUGAGCAACUGCCUUUGAAACUGUUAGUCUUGAAUGGUUGUGAAGUAGUUGGAAUGUGUAGUGUAGCGGUGAAAUGCUUAGAUAUUACACAGAACACCGAUAGCGAAGGCAUAUUACUAACAAUUAAUUGACGCUGAUGGACGAAAGCGUGGGGAGCGAACAGGAUUAGAUACCCCGGUAGUCC
This 273-nucleotide ribosomal RNA is filed under the name uncultured bacterium. RNAcentral describes it as "partial 16S ribosomal RNA". It matches the Rfam family "Bacterial small subunit ribosomal RNA", at positions 524 to 796 of the family's 1533-position model. The record is from RNAcentral.